GAUGAACGCUGGCGGCGUGCCUAAUACAUGCAAGUCGAGCGAACAGAUAAGGAGCUUGCUCCUUUGACGUUAGCGGCGGACGGGUGAGUAACACGUGGGUAACCUACCUAUAAGACUGGAAUAACUCCGGGAAACCGGGGCUAAUGCCGGAUAACAUAUAGAACCGCAUGGUUCUAUAGUGAAAGAUGGUUUUGCUAUCACUUAUAGAUGGACCCGCGCCGUAUUAGCUAGUUGGUAAGGUAAUGGCUUACCAAGGCGACGAUACGUAGCCGACCUGAGAGGGUGAUCGGCCACACUGGAACUGAGACACGGUCCAGACUCCUACGGGAGGCAGCAGUAGGGAAUCUUCCGCAAUGGGCGAAAGCCUGACGGAGCAACGCCGCGUGAGUGAUGAAGGGUUUCGGCUCGUAAAACUCUGUUAUUAGGGAAGAACAUAUGUGUAAGUAACUGUGCACAUCUUGACGGUACCUAAUCAGAAAGCCACGGCUAACUACGUG
Molecule: ribosomal RNA, 497 nt
Filed under: uncultured bacterium
Lineage: Bacteria
Description: bacterial SSU rRNA
Rfam family: Bacterial small subunit ribosomal RNA
Source: RNAcentral